UUUUUACAAACCAAGAUACCAAAAGAAAAAUUGGGAACCCCCUAAAAACCAACAAACGAUUUCAAGCAUCCAUUCAGAAACGAUACAACCAUCCGGCGAUCCAAUUGUUCAGACUUUAGCUGGCGUCCGUGGUGAGAGAGCUUUAGUCGCCGGCGGCGGCAGCAAGAGAGCUUCGGUCGGUUCAAUUCUUGUUUACAAAGUUUCCAUUCUUGUUUAUUCAGAAACGAUAUCGCUUUCUCGAUUAUUCGAUACAAAGGUUCGAUUCGAUACACAUGAUUCCCAGUUCUAUUGAAACCUGUAAGAUUUUGCACUUAAACUCUAUUCCCGGUGCGUCCUGUUCGACAGGUUUCUUCAAGAAGAUUAGGUUGAAGAUUGAAUAUGGGUGAGCAGUUGAAACUGUUAGAAUCGUCUGAAACUGUUGAACCUAUAAAAGAAUAGAUGAUAUCCAAAAGCCAAAGCAUGAUCUACUAAUCAAGAAAUAUGCAAAAGAUUGAAUUAGUCUUUCCCCAAAGAUAGUAAAUCAUAAACACCUAUUCUGAACAUCUGUUCAAGAGCAUGGCUAACAUAUGAUGAAGACUUGGAACCGCUAUUCAAGAGUACCAACAUCUGAUGAAGGCUAGCAUCUGUUAAAGACCAAAGCCCUGAUCAAGCCAAUGGUCUGAUGAAGAAGACCAAAUAUGUGUUAUGCCAAACAGAUGUUUGGAAAACUGCAACAGAGGAUAACUUAGACAGUGGUUUCAAAUUGUAACAAUAUUUAUCUUAUCAGCGUUUAGUAUAGCCUAGAUCAGAUGAUAGGAUUUGCUCAGAUGUUUGCAAAGAUCUAAGAAUCUUUUCUGUUAGGAAGGUUAGAUGUCACUAUUAGGGUGAUGUCAGCUAAUCACCGAACAGAACUUUCGUACUUAGUAUAAAUAGAUCACACCUAUUAGUGAUCUAUUCAUCACAUACAUCACAUUUUCUCUUGUACAAACUGAUUUGUUCACGUGAUCAGCUGAGGGGGAGUCUGUAGAGUCAAUCGAAUUGUAAAACAUUUUAAUCCUUGUUGAUUAAUGAAAAACAAUCGUUGAU
RNAcentral lists this long non-coding RNA (1065 nucleotides) under Helianthus annuus (common sunflower). Its description in RNAcentral is "sRNA HanXRQr2_Chr14g0646201". Lineage: Eukaryota; Viridiplantae; Streptophyta; Magnoliopsida; Asterales; Asteraceae. The record is from RNAcentral.